RNAcentral lists this ribosomal RNA (360 nucleotides) under uncultured bacterium. RNAcentral's name for it is "bacterial SSU rRNA". It matches the Rfam family "Bacterial small subunit ribosomal RNA", at positions 326 to 678 of the family's 1533-position model. The record is from RNAcentral.
ACGGCCCAUACUCCUACGGGAGGCAGCAGUAGGGAAUCUUCCACAAUGGGCGAAAGCCUGAUGGAGCAACGCCGCGUGUGUGAUGAAGGGUUUCGGCUCGUAAAACACUGUUGUAAGAGAAGAAUGACAUUGAGAGUAACUGUUCAAUGUGUGACGGUAUCUUACCAGAAAGGAACGGCUAAAUACGUGCCAGCAGCCGCGGUAAUACGUAUGUUCCAAGCGUUAUCCGGAUUUAUUGGGCGUAAAGCGAGCGCAGACGGUUAUUUAAGUCUGAAGUGAAAGCCCUCAGCUCAACUGAGGAAUUGCUUUGGAAACUGGAUGACUUGAGUGCAGUAGAGGAAAGUGGAACUCCAUGUGUAG